Molecule: ribosomal RNA, 440 nt
Filed under: uncultured bacterium
Lineage: Bacteria
Description: partial 16S ribosomal RNA
Rfam family: Bacterial small subunit ribosomal RNA
Source: RNAcentral
CCUACGUGAGGCAGCAGUAGGGACUAUUGCUCAAUGGGGGAAACCCUGAAGCAGCAACGCCGCGUGGAGGAUGAAGGUUUUCGGAUUGUAAACUCCUUUUGUUAGAGAAGAUAAUGACGGUAUCUAAAGAAUAAGCACCGGCUAACUCCGUGCCAGCAGCCGCGGUAAUACGGAGGGUGCAAGCGUUACUCGGAAUCACUGGGCGUAAGGAGCGCGUAGGCGGGAUAGCAAGUCAGAUGUGAAAUCCUAUGGCUUAACCAUAGAACUGCAUUUGAAACUGUUAUUCUAGAGUAUGGGAGAGGUAGGUGGAAUUCUUGGUGUAGGGGUAAAAUCCGUAGAGAUCAAGAGGAAUACUCAUUGCGAAGGCGACCUGCUAGAACAUAACUGACGCUGAUGCGCGAAAGCGUGGGGAGCAAACAGGAUUAGAUACCCGAGUAGUC